This 852-nucleotide ribosomal RNA is filed under the name uncultured bacterium. Its description in RNAcentral is "bacterial SSU rRNA". It matches the Rfam family "Bacterial small subunit ribosomal RNA", at positions 69 to 935 of the family's 1533-position model. The record is from RNAcentral.
AUGAAGUUCCUUCGGGAAUGGAUUAGUGGCGAACGGGUGAGGAACACGUAAGAAACCUGCCUUUCAUUCUGGGAUAACACCGGGAAACCGGUGCUAAUACCGGAUACUCCGUCUUGGCGGCAUCGCCGAGCCGGGAAAAAAUUUUGAUGAAAGAUGGUCUCGCGGCCUAUCAGCUAGUUGGUGAGGUAAAGGCUCACCAAGGCGACGACGGGUAGCCGGCCUGAGAGGGCGACCGGCCACACUGGGACUGAGACACGGCCCAGACUCCUACGGGAGGCAGCAGUAGGGAAUAUUGGGCAAUGGGCGCAAGCCUGACCCAGCGACGCCGCGUGAGGGAUGAAGGUCUUCGGAUUGUAAACCUCUUUCAGUAGGGAAGAAGCGAAAGUGACGGUACCUAAAGAAGAAGCACCGGCUAACUAUGUGCCAGCAGCCGCGGUAAUACAUAGGGUGCAAGCGUUGUCCGGAAUUAUUGGGCGUAAAGAGCUCGUAGGUCGUUUGUCGCGUCGAUUGUGAAAAUCUGAGGCUCAACCUCAGACCUGCAGUCGAUACGGGCAAACUAGAGUGUGGUAGGGGAGACUGGAAUUCCUGGUGUAGCGGUGGAAUGCGCAGAUAUCAGGAGGAACACCAAUGGCGAAGGCAGGUCUCUGGGCCAUAACUGACACUGANGAGCGAAAGUGCGGGGAGCGAACAGGAUUAGAUACCCUGNUAGUCCGCACCGUAAACGGUGGGCACUAGUUGUGGGAACCUUCCACNGUUUCCGCGACGCANCUAACGCAUUAAGUGCCCCGCCUGGGGAGUACGAUCGCAAGAUUAAACUCNNAAGGAANUGACNGGGCCCCGCACAAGCANCGG